Gasterosteus aculeatus aculeatus (three-spined stickleback) is the source of this 693-nucleotide long non-coding RNA. Lineage: Eukaryota; Metazoa; Chordata; Actinopteri; Perciformes; Gasterosteidae. The record is from Ensembl.
CAGCACCACAGUCAUCACUUAAAGGGAAAAACGAGCACGUGGUAUUUGAGGUGUUUUUGAAUACUGAUGUUCAAGCAGCAGCAGCAGCAGAUGGUUGCAGUUGAAAAACCGUCUCUCUGCCAGUCCGCUUCACCAGAGGCACAAGCAUUCACAGCACAGGGCUGGCAAGUGACCAAAUGCAGAGGAAAAAGGGACUCACCACUUGGUGUGGCUUUGCGGGAACCGCACCGGUAAGCUGCAGCAGAGACAGUUUCAGGGGUUCCAGAUGGCAGCGCUGAAUCAGAACCCUCAACAUCUGGCCGCCAUCAGCGACCUGAGCCGAGGUCUCGCUGACAGUCGGGACCAGCUGGCCGACUGGACACCGACGCAGACGCACCGAAGCAGGCGAGCGGCAGGCGGAGGCCGCUGCUCUGACCCUCAGCGUGGGAAAGUACUCAGUGUGUGACCUCGACCUCGGGGAAUAGAUUUCUCUUAAUCUUUGCAUUUAGUUGUAGAAAGCAUGAGUGUUAUUUCUGCCAUAAACUAGACCCUUCUGCCUCAUUCUUCAGGUAGAUAUAUUAAUACAUAUUCAAUAUUCAUUUAGUGUAUUUUGGAUUUGGAUUCAUUACCAGAUUAUAAGUAAAGUCAAUGCUAGAGAAAUUACAUUUAAUUUAGAGAAUUAGGAAAUUGCAUACAGGUAAUGUUAUUGAUCAG